Molecule: long non-coding RNA, 8982 nt
Filed under: Lactuca sativa (garden lettuce)
Lineage: Eukaryota; Viridiplantae; Streptophyta; Magnoliopsida; Asterales; Asteraceae
Description: long non-coding RNA (LSAT_LNC001343)
Source: RNAcentral
UGAGGGUCGGCAGAGUGCACAGAGGGUGUUCUCUUCAGUUAUUUGAUGAGCAGUUUUCAGUGGAUCUGGUACCUAUUCCCCUGCGAGGGAAUAAGGUUAUUGUGGGUAUGGAUUGGCUAAGCCCCAAUGGGGCGGUGAUUGAUUGUGAGCUUCAGCUAGUGAGGGUUCGCACUCCCAGUGGGGGAGAGUUGGUGAUUCAGGGCGAGAGGCCACAGCGAGGACCGACCUUUUGUUCCGCCGCAAGGGCGAGGCGCUAUGUUCAGCAGGGUUGCGCCGGUUUUGUAGCUUACGUUUUGGAUGCCCGGGAGAAGGGCAAGUCGACAGUGGAUGAUGUUCCUAUUGUUCGAGACUACCCGGACGUGUUUCCUGAGGAUUUGCCGGGGAUACCUCCUGAGAGACAGGUUGAGUUCAGGAUCGACCUCAUUCCUGGUGCGGCUCCGAUAGCCAAGGCACCGUAUCGACUAGCUCCCCCUGAGAUGCAGGAGUUGUCUACACAGCUGCAGGAGCUGUUAGACAAGGGUUUCAUUCGGCCGAGCAGUUCGCCUUGGGGAGCGCCGAUCCUGUUUGUGAGAAAGAAGGAUGGGUCGCAUCGUAUGUGUAUUGAUUAUCGGGAGUUGAAUAAGGUAACGGUGAAGAACCGUUACCCACUCCCGAGGAUAGAUGAUUUGUUUGAUCAGCUUCAGGGAGCGUCUUGGUUCUCCAAGAUCGAUCUACGCUCCGGAUAUCAUCAGAUGCGGGUUAGAGAUGAGGAUGUACAGAAGACUGCUUUCAGGACCAGGUAUGGUCAUUACGAGUUUGUGGUGAUGCCAUUUGGGCUCACCAAUGCUCCAGCCGCGUUCAUGGAUCUCAUGAACCGCGUGUGUAGGCCGAUGCUGGAUCGGUCAGUGAUAGUGUUCAUAGAUGACAUCUUGGUAUAUUCCAAGACGCAGGAGCAGCACGAGGAGCACCUGCGGGAGGUGCUGGAGGUUUUGAGGAGGGAGAGACUUUUCGCAAAGUUCUCCAAAUGUGAGUUCUGGUUGCGCGAGGUGCAGUUCCUUGGUCACCUCGUCAACCAGAAGGGUAUUCUGGUAGAUCCGGCCAAGAUAGAGGCCGUGAUGCAGUGGGAGGUCCCGAAGUCUCCAUCUGAGAUUCGGAGCUUCCUAGGGUUGGCAGGGUAUUAUCGGAGAUUUAUUCAGGAUUUCUCCAAGAUAGCAGUGCCGCUCACCCGACUGACCAAGAAGUCAGUGGUAUUUCGUUGGGGUCCGGAGCAGCAGACAGCAUUCGAGACCCUCAGGCAGAGAUUGUGCGAGGCUCCGAUCCUUACCUUGCCAGAGGGAGUAGAGGACUUUGUAGUCUAUUGUGAUGCCUCGAUCACAGGUUUGGGAGCAGUUCUGAUGCAGCGAGGCCAUGUGAUAGCUUAUGCCUCGAGACAGUUGAAGCCUCACGAGGCUAAUUAUCCUACCCAUGAUUUGGAGCUGGGGGCAGUUGUGUUUGCCCUCAAGAUUUGGAGGCAUUACCUUUAUGGGGUCCGUUGUACUAUUUACACGGAUCACAAGAGUUUGAGGUACCUUAUGGAUCAGCCGAGUCUGAACAUGAGGCAGAGGAGGUGGUUGGAUGUGCUAAAGGAUUACGACUGUGAGAUCCUUUACCAUCCAGGGAAGGCCAACGUGGUGGCCGAUGCCCUGAGCCGCAAAGUGUCGGCGGCCCCUAUCAGAGAUCUAUGUUUGAGGAUGACAGUGAUCACUCCGUUGUUGGAGCGGAUCAAGGAGGCUCAGGUGGAGGGUCUCAAGGAGGAGAGACAGAAGUGUGAGAGGAUCGUGGGCCGAGUAGCCUCGUUUGAUUAUGAUAGUCGUGGUUUGCUGACGCUUCACGGGAGAGUGUGGGUACCGUACUGGGGUGGAGUACGGCAAGUGUUGAUGGAUGAGGCUCAUAAGUCUCGGUUUUCUAUCCACCCAGGGGCGACGAAGAUGUAUCGAGAUCUUCGACCUGAUUAUUGGUGGCCCUGCAUGAAGCGGGACGUCGCCUGGUACGUCGAGAGAUGCCUGACCUGCCGGAAGGUCAAGGCGGAGCACCAGAGACCUCACGGCAGGAUGCAGCCGUUAGACAUUCCCGUGUGGAAAUGGGAGGACAUCACCAUGGAUUUUGUCACCAAGCUUCCCAGGACCGCACGAGGAGUGGAUUCGAUAUGGGUAGUAGUGGAUCGGUUGACGAAGAGUGCCCAUUUUAUCCCGAUCCAGGAGAGUAUAUCGGCGGAGAAGUUAGCCGAUAUCUAUGUGCGAGAGAUUGUGGCACGUCAUGGAGUGCCGGUAUCGGUGGUGUCAGACCGAGAUGUCCGUUUCACAUCCAGAUUCUGGAAGCGGUUCCACGACGAGAUGGGUACUCGUCUCCAUUUCAGCACCGCUUUCCACCCUCAGACAGACGGGCAGAGCGAGAGGACGAUUCAGACUCUCGAGGACAUGCUUAGGGCAUGUGUCCUAGAUUUCGGUGGCAGUUGGGAUACGUAUCUUCCGUUAGCGGAAUUCUCGUAUAACAACAGUUAUCAUGCGAGCAUUGAUCGACCUCCCUUUGAGAUGCUGUAUGGGAGGAAGUGUAGGACCCCGAUUUGUUGGGGCGAGGUCGGUCAGCGGGUCAUCGGGAGCACGGAGGUGGUGCUCAAGACGACUGAGUUGAUCCAGCAGGUCCGUAGUAGACUGCAGACUGCUCAGAGUCGGCAGAAGAGCUACGCCGAUAGGAGGCGUUCGGACUUGGAGUUCCAGGUGGGGGAUAUGGUCCUUCUGAAGGUCUCACCUUGGAAGGGUGUCAUCAGGUUCCGGAAGAGGGGCAAGUUGGGCCCCAGAUUUAUUGGUCCUUUCAGGGUUUUGGCCCGGGUGGGUCGGGUUGCUUAUCGGUUAGAUCUUCCUGAGGAGCUUAGUCAGAUCCACAACACUUUCCAUGUGUCUCAGUUGAGGAAGUGUUUGGUGGAUGAGUCAGCAGUCGUUCCCCUAGAGGAUAUUCAGGUUGAUAGCAGCCUGAAUUAUAUUGAGAGGCCGGUCGCGAUUCUGGACCGGAAGACCAAGACCUUGAGGAACAAGGAAAUUCAGUUAGUGAAGGUGCAGUGGCAGCACCGGAAGGGGUCUGAGUGGACGUGGGAGGCUGAGGAGGAGAUGAGAGAGCACUACCCAGAGAUAUUUGCAGAUUCAGCCGUAGCAGACUUCGAGGACGAAGUCUGAGAUAAGUGGGGGAGAAUUGUAACGACCCGUCUCCGGUAUGAUAAUUCCUUGGUAUUUAUUUUGAAGUUUUGCAAGAGGGACUCGGCGAGUUCAUAGCCUGACUCGCCGAGUAGGGUCGGGAUUUCGAGCACGUGUUAGCUGGCGACUCGGCGAGUCCAUAUUCUGGACUCGGCGAGUCUGUCCGUCUGGGAGAAACCCUAAAUCCCCGGGUUGCCCACUAUUUAAGCCACCUUAUAGCCCCCAAUCUCGCCUCCUUCACCCUCAAAAGCUGUGAGAAAACCCUAAUUCGUUCUUGAGUGAUUCUAAGUGAUUUUGUGUGCUAUUGUGAAGGCUUGAAGAAGGAGAAGAAGAAAGGAGCAAGGAGAAGGAUUGUAGAGCAGAGAUUCAAGGGAAAGCAAGAGCUCUUUGAGGUAUUCUUCAGUUUUCCUUCUCUUUUAUGCCUUAAAACCCUUUCUAGAUCUUGUUAAUGCCUUUCUCAAAGCCUUAUGUUGAUAUGGAAGCUCUCUUAUGCCGAGAUAACCUUAGAUCUGUUCAUUUAGGAGUUGUAGAGCCCAGAUCUAUUGCCUUUAUGGAGCUAUUUUGCAUAUUAACCCUAGAUCUACCCCUUUUAAGCAUCUUUUAGCCUUUAUUCCCUUGUUCAUGUGUUUGUACACGUAAAGUUGGAAACUUUACGUGGUAAAUCAGCUUAUUGGACUCAGAUCUAUCAUUUGUAUGUAUUGGAUUCGAGCAGAAUCGAGUGUAGAAUAGUUGCAUGGCGGUGACUCGGCGAGUCGGAAGAACGACUCAGCGAGUCGAGUCGCGAGUCCCCGAUUUCUUCCUUUUGAGCGGUGUCGAGUGGGACCAGUGAGUAGUGGAGUGGACUCAGCGAGUUUGAGGGUAGACUCAGUAAUGGAGGGACUCGGCGAGUUGUUCAUACAACUCGGCGAGUCCAAGGCAAUCUUCUUAAGCUCAAGAACAACUCGUCGAGUUGUUCAUAUGACUCGGCGAGUCGGAUGAAGAUUGUCUGAGUUCUUGGAUCGAAUGAGUACUCGUCGAGUCGAUGCCAUACUCGACGAGUAGCAGCGAGUAGGGUCGAGGAGUGAGAAUAGGGACUCGGCGAGUUGGCGGCCCAACUCGGCGAGUCAGGUCAACUGUGGGUUGACUUUGACCGAGAGUUGACCUUGACCAACAGUUGACUUUGACCAAGGGUAAAAGAGUCAUUUUACCCAGUGCAGUGUUUAGUAUUUGAUUGAGUGUGUUUAUGGACUUGUAGCCGGGGAGAUACCGGAGCAGCAGCAGUUAGCCCUCAGAGCUAUUCACUCAGCAGCCAGUUCACGAGGUGAGUUUCCUUUCAGUAGGAACGGGUCUAAGGCCACAAUGCCGGCCCGUUUAGCUAGCAGUAGUAUCCGGAUUUUGAUCCGAUGCAGUAGUUAGCAUGUUUGAUGCCUUCGUGGCUCAGACAGGAUUAUGUGUGUUCAUGUUAAGUGAUACGUUUAUGUUAUGAUCAGUCAGCUUCGGACUUCGGUCCGAUGUCAGCUUCGGACUUCGGUUCGAUGUAGGGGACAAGGUCCCAGUCAGCUUCGGACUUCGGUCCGAUGUCAGCUUCGGACUUCGGUUCGAUGUAGGGGACAAGGUCCCAGUCAGCUUCGGACUUCGGUCCGAUGUCAGCUUCGGACUUCGGUCCGAUGGAGGGGACAAGGCCCCAGUCAGUUAGCUUCGGACUUCGGUCCGAUGUAGGGGACAAGGUCCCAGUCAGUCAGCUUCGGACUUCGGUCCGAUGGAGGGGGCAAGGCCCCAGUAUGUGCUUGAUAUGUUAUUGUAUGGUAUGUGGUAGUUUGGGGGAGCUCACUAAGCUUCGUGCUUACAGUUUCAGUUUUGGUUUCAGGUACUUCCGCAAGCAGAGGGAAGAGCUCGGGAUGAUGGCAUCGCACACACCACAGCUUCAGCUUUUAUCCUGGGAGUUGAUUUAGUUUUUGAUUUUUAUAUGACAUGGAUAUGAUACAGUUUUCCGCACAGUGUUUUAUUAUUAUUUUGAGAUACAUCAUGUAUGGUUUUAUGAUAUGACACUCAGAUUAUGGUUUUUGGUUAUGUUGAAAAACGAAAUUUUUGGGUCGUAUUUUUGGGUCGUUUCAAGUUGGUAUCAGAGCCCUGGUUUGAGGGAUUCGGAUACACUUCCGGGUGUAUCUGAACUCAAACUAAGGGGAAAUAAAAAGAUUUUUAAAAGGAAAAUGUUUUCUAAAAGAAUUUUGAAAGCACUUAGAAAGAAAGAAAUUUUUAAACAAGAUAAGGGUGUGGUGCAUGCGAUCAGCCGAGCUCAAGUAAGUACUCCCAAAUUACCCAUACAAGUUAUUUGUUCAGUUUCAGUUUCAGUAGAACAGCAUGCUAGUAUAGGACUAAGGAUCUAGGAGGAUGCCUUAUGUGCCUGCUUUAUGUGUUACAGCUUUAUGAGUAUUGCAUGCUAGUAUUGAGUAGACAGCAGUAGGAUAGCCUGUUUAGGUUAUGCCUGAUAGUAUGAGCUUAGCAUUGUAUGCUAGUACAGUUUCUCGUUAUGAGAAUAGUUUUGCCUGAGUAUGUUUCCUUUAUCCGAAUGCUGCUUGCUUCGUGCUUUGUGGGGUUCUGAGUGAUGGGAGUUAGCCAUUAGGUGAACACGUCACACCACAUGUGAUCAGGGUUGAAUAAUCCCAGAGUGCUGGAACUGGCCCUAUUGCGCAGCUCUUGUUUGAGUCCAACCGUUAUAGGGACGGGUCUUUUACUUGAAGGAUUAUCUGAUCUUCGUCACAUGUGAUGGUGUUCAGGUGGUGGUUAAUUAGCAUUAUAAGGAGACCUGCAGCAGCUGAGGACUAGUUGAGUUGAGUCUGAGGUUUCCCUGGGGCAAGCCUAGGAUGAGAGUAGCAGAGAUCAGUAGUAGUAGAAGUGACUUGGUGGAGUCAGGGCAGUUCUUGAAGAAAGUACGGAUAGAUGUGGAAGGUAGUAUGGGCCCGUACUACUGAAAGCAGAGGAUCCGUACUCGAAUCAAGAAAGGCUGAGACAAGACCAGGAAGCUAGUUGUAGUAUCAAUGAUCCCUUGAGAUAUUUCUGUUUUCUGAUGUAGUUGUGAUGUGUUUCAGAAUGGUGGUUUUGCGUUCGAGACCAGCAGCCGGCAGCGGAGGUGCCGGGGAGGGAUCAGGUUCAGGCUCGGGGGAUGAGCGCAUGGAUGAGCAGACCCGAGAGUUUCUUUCUUCGGAGAUUACGCGCAUCAUUAUAGAGCAGACUCCUGUGAUCUUCGGUUCGAUCAAGGAGGGGAUUCUAGAGCUGAUGGAUGAGAGAUUGGGCACCUUCCGUGCCGAGGUGGCGGCCAUGAUGGGGUCGCGCACCCUUACUUUCAGGGAGUUCAGGGCAUGUGGAGCUCCGGACUAUCAUGGGGCGCGAGACCCCAUAGCGAGCACCAGAUGGUUGGCGGAUGUGGCCAACGCUUUCCGUACUAGCAGAUGUCCCGAGGGGGACAAGGUCAGAUUGGCGUCCUGUCUUCUGAAGGACAGGGCACGAGAUUGGUGGGAGGAGGUCGGGCAUGCCAUUGGGGAUGAUGCAGCAUUGGACGCCAUGACCUGGGCUGAUUUCUCUACCAGGUUCAGGGCGGAGUUUGCACCGGUCAUUGAGGUGCAACAGCUAGCUAGGGAGUUUCAGGACCUCACCCAGACUACAGAGACAGUGGCGGAGAUCACCGCCAAGUUCAGGGAGAGGGCUCUUCUCGUUCCUCAGUAUGUAGCUGAUGAGGAAAUGAAGAAGGCCCGUUAUCAUGAGAUGUUGCGGAGCGAUAUCCGCCAGUUUGUGAGCCGGUCCAGCUGUAAAACGCUGGAAGAUAUGAUUGCUAGAGCUCGGGAGAGGGAGAUUGAUCUUGAGAUGGAGAAGAAGAGGAAACCAGAGGCGGUUUCGGGUUCAGGCAGUUCGGGCAAAAAGCCCAAGGUUUCGGAUCACAGAUCUAGGAGUCAGCAGAGCCACGGUCGAUGUGGCAAGUGUGGGAGAUUGCACGAGGGAGCGUGCAAGGCAGGGAGUUCCGGCUGCUACAAGUGCGGUCGGAUUGGGCAUUUGAGUAGGGAUUGUACGGCCCCUGCUACUGCCGUCGCAGCAUCAGAUCUGAUUUGCUUUCAGUGCAAUCAGAGGGGACAUAAAAAGUCCCAGUGUCCGAGUUUAGCUUCAGCAGGGAAGGUGGCUGCACCUGCCCCUGCUACCUUGAGGAUUACAGAUGGCCGGCAGGGCCGAGCUGAUGCGCCAGUGGCGAAGAGUAGGGCGUUUCAGAUGACAGCAGAGGAGGCGCGAGCGACUCCUGAUGUGGUGACGGGUAUGUAUCUUCCCUUUUAUCUCUUUAUUAUUAUUGAUUAAAUGUUGCUUAUGGUUGUAUGUUUUAUUCAGGGUCGUUCUCUGUGAACGGCAUUUCUGCUUUGGUAUUAUUCGAUUCGGGGGCUACCCGAUCAUUCGUAUCUCUUGCGCUUAGCAAGAGGUUCAGUAGAGCUCCAGGGGAGCUGGAUUGUCCAUUAGAGGUUGAGAUAGCGGAUGAUAGGACCGUGAGGGUCGGCAGAGUGCACAGAGGGUGUUCUCUUCAGUUAUUUGAUGAGCAGUUUUCAGUGGAUUUGGUACCUAUUCCCCUGCGAGGGAAUAAGGUUAUUGUGGGUAUGGAUUGGCUAAGCCCCAAUGGGGCGGUGAUUGAUUGCGAGCUUCAGUUAGUGAGGGUUCGCACUCCCAGUGGGGGAGAGUUGGUGAUUCAGGGCGAGAGGCCACAGCGAGGACCGACCUUUUGUUCCGCCGCAAGGGCGAGGCGCUAUGUUCAGCAGGGUUGCGCCGGUUUUGUAGCCUACGUUUUGGAUGCCCGGGAGAAGGGCAAGUCGACAGUGGAUGAUGUUCCUAUUGUUCGAGACUACCCGGAUGUGUUUCCUGAGGAUUUGCCGGGGAUACCUCCUGAGAGACAGGUCGAGUUCCGGAUCGACCUCGUCCCUGGUGCGGCUCCGAUAGCCAAGGCACCGUAUCGACUAGCUCCCCCUGAGAUGCAGGAGUUGUCUACACAGCUGCAGGAGCUGUUAGACAAGGGUUUCAUUCGGCCGAGCAGUUCGCCUUGGGGAGCGCCGAUCCUGUUUGUGAGAAAGAAGGAUGGGUCGCAUCGUAUGUGUAUUGAUUAUCGGGAGUUGAAUAAGGUAACGGUGAAGAACCGUUACCCACUCCCGAGGAUAGAUGAUUUGUUUGAUCAGCUUCAGGGAGCGUCUUGGUUCUCCAAGAUCGAUCUACGCUCCGGAUAUCAUCAGAUGCGGGUUAGAGAUGAGGAUGUGCAGAAGACUGCUUUCAGGACCAGGUAUGGUCAUUACGAGUUUGUGGUGAUGCCAUUUGGGCUCACCAAUGCCCCAGCCGCGUUCAUGGAUCUCAUGAACCGCGUGUGUAGGCCGAUGCUGGAUCGGUCAGUGAUAGUGUUCAUAGAUGACAUCUUGGUGUAUUCCAAGACGCAGGAGCAGCACGAGGAGCACCUGCGGGAGGUGCUGGAGGUUUUGAGGAGGGAGAGACUUUUCGCAAAGUUCUCCAAAUGUGAGUUCUGGUUGCGCGAGGUGCAGUUCCUUGGUCACCUCGUCAACCAGAAGGGUAUUCUGGUAGAUCCGGCCAAGAUAGAGGCCGUGAUGCAGUGGGAGGUCCCGAAGUCUCCAUCUGAGAUUCGGAGCUUCCUAGGGUUGGCAGGGUAUUAUCGGAGAUUUAUUCAGGAUUUCUCCAAGAUAGCAGUGCCGCUCACCCGACUGACCAAGAAGUCAGUGGUAUUUCGUUGGGGUCCGGAGCAGCAGACAGCAUUCGAGACCCUCAG